Molecule: ribosomal RNA, 254 nt
Filed under: uncultured bacterium
Lineage: Bacteria
Description: partial 16S ribosomal RNA
Rfam family: Bacterial small subunit ribosomal RNA
Source: RNAcentral
UACGUAGGGGCCUAGCGUUGUCCGGAUUUAUUGGGCGUAAAGAGCUCGUAGGCGGUUUGGUGAGUCGGGUGUGAAAUCUCCACGCUCAACGUGGAGGGGCCACCCGAUACUGCCAUGACUAGAGUCCGGUAGGGGAGUGUGGAAUUCCCGGUGUAGCGGUGAAAUGCGCAGAUAUCAGGAGGAACACCAAUUGCGAAGGCAGCUCGCUGGGACGUAACUGACGCUGAGGAGCGAAAGCGUGGGGAGCGAACAGG